Molecule: ribosomal RNA, 497 nt
Filed under: uncultured bacterium
Lineage: Bacteria
Description: partial 16S ribosomal RNA
Rfam family: Bacterial small subunit ribosomal RNA
Source: RNAcentral
GACGAACGCUGGCGGCGUGCCUAAUACAUGCAAGUUGAGCGAUGAAGAUUGGUGCUUGCACCAAUUUGAAGAGCAGCGAACGGGUGAGUAACGCGUGGGGAAUCUGCCUUUGAGCGGGGGACAACAUUUGGAAACGAAUGCUAAUACCGCAUAACAACUUUAAACAUAAGUUUUAAGUUUGAAAGAUGCAAUUGCAUCACUCAAAGAUGAUCCCGCGUUGUAUUAGCUAGUUGGUGAGGUAAAGGCUCACCAAGGCGAUGAUACAUAGCCGACCUGAGAGGGUGAUCGGCCACAUUGGGACUGAGACACGGCCCAAACUCCUACGGGAGGCAGCAGUAGGGAAUCUUCGGCAAUGGACGAAAGUCUGACCGAGCAACGCCGGGUGAGUGAAGAAGGUUUUCGGAUCGUAAAACUCUGUUGGUAGAGAAGAACGUUGGUGAGAGUGGAAAGCUCAUCAAGUGACGGUAACUACCCAGAAAGGGACGGCUAACUACGUG